RNAcentral lists this long non-coding RNA (246 nucleotides) under Phoenix dactylifera (date palm). RNAcentral describes it as "long non-coding RNA (PDAC_LNC013675)". Lineage: Eukaryota; Viridiplantae; Streptophyta; Magnoliopsida; Arecales; Arecaceae. The record is from RNAcentral.
UGAAUGCUUUAUGGAUUGAUUUUGAUAAACCUCAUUGUGUUGCAUGACUUCAUGAAUACAUAAUAAGCUUGUACCUUGAGAUGAGUUGUGUAAAGGUUAUUUUAUCUCAAAAUUUGAGCUUUAUGGAAAUAGAAUAUAUUGAACAUAUAUUUUCGAGUUUGACAAUUUUAUUGGACACUAUCUUCAAAUUUUAAACUCUUAAAUGGAAUGAAUAAUUAAGGGGGAGAAAGAAAAUUUUAGAGGGAG